ACUCCUACGGGAGGCAGCAGUGAGGAAUAUUGGACAAUGGGCGCAAGCCUGAUCCAGCCAUGCCGCGUGCAGGAAGACUGCCCUAUGGGUUGUAAACUGCUUUUGUACGGGAAGAAACACCCCCUCGUGAGGGGCUUGACCGGUACCGUAAGAAUGAAGGAUCGGCUAACUCCGUGCCAGCAGCCGCGGUAAUACGGAGGAUCCGAGCGUUAUCCGGAAUCAUUGGGUUUAAAGGGUCCGUAGGUGGAUUGGUAAGUCAGAGGUGAAAGCCUGCAGCUCAACUGUAGAACUGCCUUUGAUACUGCUAGUCUUGAGUCGUUGUGAAAGUGGUUAGAAUAUGUAGUGUAGCGGUGAAAAUGCAUAGAUAUUACAUAGAAUACCAAUUGCGAAGGCAGAUCACUAACAACGUACUGACACUGAUGGACG
Molecule: ribosomal RNA, 426 nt
Filed under: uncultured bacterium
Lineage: Bacteria
Description: bacterial SSU rRNA
Rfam family: Bacterial small subunit ribosomal RNA
Source: RNAcentral